CUGAUUUAGAAAGUGUGUGGACAAGCUAUAUAUGGUUUGGGAGAAUAACGUACGUCGGGUAAAGCGCGACAAUGCUAGCGUCACAGGCACGAAGCCGGGCAAAGGCACAUAUAUUGAGGUUCUGUCACAGUUGGAAACAGAAAACAUAACAGCAUCAAGCUUAAAGUAUAAUUGAAUCUACUGAAAGUUGUCUCAUAACCACGUGUACUCUCCCACUCCGUUUCCAUUUCAGGUUUCUCCAUAGACGCACAGAGACUACACAUUUCCU
Long non-coding RNA from Gigantopelta aegis, 268 nucleotides. RefSeq lists it as uncharacterized. NCBI's taxonomy places the organism in Eukaryota, Metazoa, Mollusca, Gastropoda, Neomphalida, Peltospiridae. The record is from RefSeq and is a predicted model, not a curated record. The transcript has 2 exons.